GGACUACCGGGGUAUCUAAUCCCGUUUGCUCCCCUAGCUUUCGCGCCUCAGCGUCAGAAGAGGUCCAGCACGCCGCUUUCGCCACCGGCGUUCCUUCCGAUAUCUACGCAUUUCACCGCUCCACCGGAAGUUCCGCAUGCCCCUACCUCCCUCGAGGCCACCAGUAUCAAAGGCACUUUUCCGGUUGAGCCGAAAGAUUUCACCCCUGACUUGGUGGCCCGCCUACGCGCCCUUUAAGCCCAGUGAAUCCGAAUAACGUUUGCACGGUUCGUCUUACCGCGGCUGCUGGCAC
This 292-nucleotide ribosomal RNA is filed under the name uncultured bacterium. RNAcentral describes it as "partial 16S ribosomal RNA". The record is from RNAcentral. RNAcentral also lists the same sequence under 1 other name.